GAUUGGCUGUAUACUUUUGUCAAUCAAUCUCCUUCGCGCUGUCGCUAGAAGACGGCUUGCUAAUCGCCAAUAAUCAAUAGAAGAAGCUAAACCAAUUAAAUGAAUCUUCUACGUUGCAGGAGUAGGACGCGAAGGAAGAAGACGGCCGGAGGAAUAGAAGCACAGUAAGAGCAGUGAAUAUGUCUGAUGGCCGCUUCUCUUCAGUUGUCCCUGGGUUGUGGAAACAUCAGCAGACACUCCACAAAUGUAGCCAGAGCGUCUUCUACGUCUGUCGACAUGCUGCCAAGGGGAGGUGCACACUCAACAGAGGAGGAGUCUCUCCUGACCCACUGACUUGGACUCUCAGUCCCUUCACCUCAGUUCUCCAAUCCCAAUGAUAAGCUGUCAUGCCCGCCUCGUAUCUAAACACAGUGUCUGAUGGAAGGUCGGCGGGGGCCCUCUUUGUUUGCCAAACACAGAAGCCUCCUUCCACGAUAGUUUGGAGCAGAGCCGCUCGCCGGCCAGGAUGGAUGAGCCCCUGUGGAUAACACUUUUAAACACAGCCUAGAAGUGUCUAGAAAGACACAACGCAGAGAGGGCAGGCUGGAUAGGAAGUGAAACACCAGAACCUGCACUAUUAAAGUGAACAUCAGAACCUCAUCAGACCCAGAAAAAAUAAAAUAAAAAAAAGAAAUGUAUUUAACUUAACUUUUAAUUUCAGGGUGUCAGGGGGUGAAGUCUUUCCAAUGAGCGGGUCAUGUUUUCAGUUGAAAAACCAUAUCUGGUUAGUUAUUCUAGUCGUAGUGCUGUGUAAUGUCUUCCUCGCCCAUCUGUUGCCAUGGCAGGCAGCGCACAUUUAAUCAGGCCAGGCAUCGCCCGCGUCAAGACCCAACCCACCUCACCGUCUUCCAGCAGGCGUGUAACUAAUUCAAAAGUUCAGAUGUCCAGAUGAAUUACAACGACCAAGCAGAGGGAGCACAGGGAGGUUUUUACUGUUGGUAGGAAGAAACACUCAUGCACAGGAUGUUUUUGCUGGCAAACAAAAGAAACAGAAACCGGUCAGAAACAGAAGGUCAUCCUUCUUAUGGUUUCAAAUUUGUGUCCAUGUACGUCAAAAUGGCAGACCUAACUCAACUAGACUGGCUGCUUCCAACAUAAAUACGCUUUGCUUCCAGCCUGGCGGACUUCUCGAGGAGAUAUAAAACACAAGGACACAAUCUUAAGAUCAGUUCUUGUCUCCAUCAUGACUCAGAUUUAACAUUUGCUUUUGUUUGGUAAAAUGUCGCCACAAGAAAUCACAGCUGGCGUGGUGCGAUGUUAUCGCUAUAAUUUCAAUCCCACCAACCAGAAGGGAACUUUAUGACUAAUUUGACAUUUUCAGAUAUUUUUAUUUUGUAAAAUGACUUUAAACAUCAUUUUAUAGAUUAUUAAUGAUAUAUUAUUUUACAUUUGACAAUCAUUUACAUCUACAUUUGAAAACAAAGUUUUGUGUUAUAAUUGGUUAUUAGGAACAGCAUUUCAGCACGUUCUGUUUACAUUAGCGGUGUCCAACAGUAAAAAAUAAAAUGUGAAAAUAAAAGAAAAAGUACGAGAAUAUUGUAAUAUGAGAAAACAGUCAUUUUAGUAGCAUGAAGUUGAAAUAUUCAAGAAAAUAUAUAAAAAAACAACAAAUAGGUUAAGGAAAAAGUUAUAUUGUGAACAAGUUGAAAACAUUAUGGUUGAAGUUAUAAUUAUAAGAAGAAAAUUGGAAUAGUUGGAAACUUUUUAUGAAAAGCAGGAGCAGGAAGAGAAAAAAGCAGCUUCAAUUGUACAAGAAUAAAAUUCUAAAUCGUCAAAAACCAUCACCAUAUUGUAAUAUGAUGUCAUUUUAAUAGCAUGCUGUGGUGUUGAAAUAUAUAUUUAAAAAAAUCAAAAAUAUGAGAAUAAAGUCCUACCAUAAGAAGAAAGCGAUUAUUUAAAAGAAAGUAGGAAUUGUGGGGGAGAAAUGUUCAUACUAAUAAUAAGCCUGAGCUGCAGGUUUUUUUUUGUGAAAUAUACUGAAUAUGGCAUCUCAGCACAUCUAAAAUAUCAAAGUGGCCCUUGCAUCCUUUUAUUUUUCACUAUGAGGCCCAGGGUCGCUCAUAGUGAGGCCCAUAAAUUAUGAGCUGCUGGCCCAUAAAAUGAGCUUUGUCAGGUUUGAGCGUGUGAUGUGACGUGUUUGCUUCCUUUGUAGCUGGUGAACGAUGGUAAUUAAAGAGAGAAGGGGAGUUUUGUUGCAGCUGGAACUAAUCAAUGCAUUGGAGUUUGCGGAGCUGUACACAGGAAAUUAUGUUUUGCUGAGUACAUGUUGGCAGGUUUGCAGUUGGGGAGCCGAAAGCGAAUAAACAGAAAAAGCAGUCUUUUCAGAUUUUUCUGAUGUUUACACGAGUGGACUGGUCAGAAGAUUAAGAUAAAAGUUGGAGAGGGAAGAUAAUUUAAUGCAUUCUUGUUCAGCCACAAGAAUAGAGCACAGACGCAAUAAGCGGAAAUCUUUUCCUCCACUGGGUCACGAAUGUGGCUAAGAUAUAGGAACGAAAGAUGCGGUCCUUAUUCCUGAGAAUUGAAGGUUGUCUUUCCUAACUUCUCUCUCAUUGGCUCCUUUUUUUAAAAGUUUUUUAUCGAUCGGGUCUUUGGAGGCAGAAAACUUUGGCUUUGUUGUCUCCUGAGGCAGUGACCGCCAGCGUCGCCUCUCUGCAAGAAAACCAGAGUAAACAAUGGGACCCGUUAAAAUUGG
Doryrhamphus excisus (bluestripe pipefish) is the source of this 2731-nucleotide long non-coding RNA. RefSeq lists it as uncharacterized. Lineage: Eukaryota; Metazoa; Chordata; Actinopteri; Syngnathiformes; Syngnathidae. The record is from RefSeq and is a predicted model, not a curated record.